GUCAACGACGUGUGCCUCACCACGCAAUAAUUACUCCAAAUGCAUAUUCUCAUUAUUUAUUACAUACCUUUCAACUUCUGUUGGAAACUGGAACAAGGAUUUUCCUCCCUUCCAUUUUACAGUAAACAAGGUAUUUAUUGAUGACAUAUGUUUCUUAUCGUGAAAAAAAGUUGAUUCACAGUAGGAGUACUAGUAGUGGGAAAACUUGCAAAGAAAUCGAUUUCUAGCUAUUUAAGCCAAGUAAGUUUUUUAUUUUUGUGAAUUAGCUAGCCAGCUAGAUAUCUACUUGGGACAAGCUAGCUACCGCCAAGAAGAGGAUGAAGACCAUUUGUGCCUUGGUGAAUAUGCAUGACGAUCAUUAGGAAAACAUCCACUAUCUAGUGCACUCGUCCUAAACAACAUAAUCUCUAUAAACAAUUAGGUAAGUCAUGUCCACCAAACUUAGUGCACUCUGUUAUAAAUUCGAGUUUUGGAAACAGAAAACUGUAUGAAGAUUGUUAAAGUUGCGUCAAUUCGUUUCUGGUAUCAGAACAAAAUAGUCAGCACAUAGUAACUUCUGAUUUAGCUGUACUUUAAUUAAUGCAAACACGUGUAUGGUAAAUAUGUGGUUCGCAUAUAUACACGGUCUCUCUGUGACACCUCGCAGGGCAGACAGAGAAGAGAGCGACACAUCCUAUUGUUCUCUCUUAUAUACUCUGACAGUGAUAGUUCCUGCUCAAUGCUGGCCUGUCAGAGGGAGGAGGAGCGUGGUUUAAACUUGCUCCUCCUAUCGUCGGCGUGCAGGCUGGUCCCAACCUCGUGACGCACUUCCUGUCGCCGGGUGUAGUUCUUGUCUUCAGCAGUUGACUUAUCCGGAGUUGAUAUAUUUAAUAUUGUAGCAUAGCUUCCCCAGUAUAUUAUAUAAGUUAUGCAAACAAAUAGCCAGUUCAACCCUAACAAGAUCAAAUGUUUCCUUUAUGAGAAAAUUAGCAUAGCAUAUCGGCCAAAAUCCAUCUAGCUCAAUCUUCUCCCACUGCUGUUCACUGGGCUUCAUAUUUCACUGGGCUUCCUCUCACUAACCGGAUGUCUCACAUUUAUACAUCCAGUGAAAUAUCUGUCUCAUCUCUCUGUGCCUCUACGGUCACGGUUGCGUUUCCGGAACAUUAUGGGCCGUACGCGUCUCUGGUCCAACAAAAAUAUGUUCCCGGUAAAGCAGGACGUCAGCCACCACCAGAGAGGUUUCUUUUUAAAUUCCUUGGUCACUGUGGACCUUGUUACCAUGACAACAUUGCCCAAUCAAACGCAUUACCUCUAUCAACAUGGACGAAUUGACAGUUGAGUUGUUUAAAGUCUUAGUUAGAUUGCACAUGGGUGGACUUUAUUUAAGUGUCACAUGAUCUGUCACAUAAUCUCAGUAUUUAUACAACUGUUCUGAAAGGCCCCAGAGUCUGCAACACCACUAAGCAAGGGGCACCACCAAGCAAGCAGCACCAUGAAGACCAAGGAGCUCUCCAAACAGGUCAGGGACAAAGUUGUGGAGAAGUACAGAUCAGGGUUGGGUUAUAAAAAAAUAUCCUAAACUUUGAACAUCUCAGCGGAGCACCAUUAAAUCCAUUAUUAAAAAAUGGAAAGAAUAUGGCACCACAACAAACCUGCCAAGAGAGGGACGCCAACCAAAACCCAUAGACCAGGCAAGGAGGGCAUUAAUCAGAGAGGCAACAAAGAGACCAAAGAUAACCCUGAAGGAGCUGCAAAGCUCCACAGUGAAGAUUGGAGUAUCUGUCCAUAGGACCACUUAAGCCGUACACUCCACAGAGCUGGGCUUUACAGAAGAGUGGCCAGAAAAAAAUGAGCAAACACAUUUGGUGUUCAUCAAAAGGCAUGUGGGAGACUCCCCAAACAUAUGGAAGAAGGUACUCUGGCCAGAUGAGGCUCAAAUGUAGCUUUAUUUAACCAGGAAAUCCAAAUGAGGUCAAUUGAUUUUUUUCCUUGUUGUCUGUUACGUUCCCCAGUUUCUGUUUUGGGUUUGUAUGUGUUUGGAUGUGUAUGUUUCAGGAAAUGGCUUCCAGGAUUCAAAGCAGCUGAUUGGUCGGCCCCAUCGAAGAUUGGAGCUCUGACCCCUCCCUCUCGUCAGGGGAUACAGCUGUCUGCAAUUACCGACUCCUGCAGCUUGAAAAGCCAGUGUUCCUUUGUUAGGAGAGAGAGCUUCUUUGAUGUCCUGUGUUGGUUGUUGUUCAGAGACAGGUUUUGUAAAGUAUUUUGUAGUUGGUCCUGCUGAGGUAUGUCUAGGCCAAAAGGACUGUGUUUGUGAUUAUUGAAAUUGUUCACUUUAAGUUAGUAAUUAUUCUGUUUGUGUUCCCAGUGGGGAAGGGGAAGGCACCUUGGGAGUUUUUAGGCAAGAGGCCUGCGGGCAUACAUAUACCCGUAGUAUGUACUCUGUCUAUGCACACUAGGUAAGACCUGGGCGGACCACCCCCUGUAUUUUGGUUAGCGCACCAGGUGACAUUAAGAAUAGGUAAGUAGUGGGUAGGAGAGGGGGCUCUUUAAUGUUUACUUUCUUUGCUUUGGUUCCAUCCAGCCCCUUUUCCCCAAAUUACCCUGUGAAGGAAGAAUAAAUUCCCUGUUAAUGGUAAUAUUUUCUGCCUCUGUCAUCCUUACCUGCACCUACAGUCACACACCUCUCUUUCACUCCACCUACACCUCUCUUUCACUCCACCUACACCUCUCUUUCACUCCACCUACACCUCUCUUUCACUCCACGGGGAGUUGAGUGUAGCAGGGUGUCGCGUUUCCCCCCUCCAAGAGGUGUGCGCAACAUUGUCCAUUAACACCUUAACCAAAGAGCACCGUCAACCUAUGUUUCAGUGAUCUACUGACUAGUAUAUCCUUUAGACGGAUUGUUCUUCUGUUAUUGCCAGGAGACUGUUACCAUGGCCGCCAUUACCAUGGCCACCAUAACCCUGUCACUGCUUCUCCCCGCUGUUCUGCUCAGAACACUGACAGAGUGUAUGGAGUGAUGCCAGACCCCCUGUGAGAUUGCUAGAGAUGCUGCGGGGGCCUAACUUGAUUGGAGACUUCACCCUGCAGUGUGACAACCAGGGACAAUACACCCCUCAGCAGUGGCCAGGCUCUGCAGUUUCUGUUGGUGUGGACAGAAGAGCCCUGGUACUGAGUCCACCAGACACUGCUCACAUAAACUGUGAGAGGACAGGUAGGACGAGUAUGUGUUUGUUUAUAUUAGUGUGCCUUUAUACACUCACUGUACAAAACAUUAAGAACACAUGUGACGACCCUCCCACUCUAUCUGCUGUGUUCUCUCUUUGCUCUUGUUUCCUUAUUAGGAUGCCGGUGGGCGGGUCGUCAGCUACAUGGGAAACACCUGGGCCCAGCUGCGGCGUCGACUUGGCCACAGGCGUCCUCCAUGGCCUGAAUGAGGGGUACCUGAGCCUGGGGCUGGAGAUCGUAAACCUUCCACCGCCAUGCAGAGAAACUCUUCGAUAGGGUUUAGAAACGGAGAGUAUGAUGGAAGGUAUAGUACUGUCAACUGUGGAUGGUGUUGAAACCAGUUCUAGACCAAAGCAGAGGUGAAAUGACACAUUGUCCCAGAUGACAGUAUUGCAUCUGGUGCAUUUCAUUACCUGCUGUGACGAUGUGGUGCAAUCGGUCCAAAAAUGCGAGAAUGUGAGGUGUGUUGUAAGGGCCUAUUUUGGCAUGAUGGAGGAGAACCCCAUGCUGUGAAAUGGCAGCGCAAAGGGUGAUGUUACCCACACGUUUCCCUGGGACAUUGAUUAUAGCCCUGUGGCCAAUGAUAUUUCUGCCUCUCCUUCUUGCUUUUGUGAGGUUGAACCCUGCCUCAUCAAUAUAUAUGAAUUCAUGCAGGAUUUCCUCAGCAUCCAUCUGCAAAACUCCCUGAAAUACAGUGAAAGACAAGAUUGUGUAGUUCAGGAUAGGUCUAGUAUACAGUCAAUGUAAAAAAGUAAUGUGUGCAGUAUGCAACAUCACAGUGCUAAAGUGAACAAUACAAACCUCCACAUACUCAUGCUGCAGCCGUUUGACCCUCUCUGAAUUCCGCUCAAAAGGCACUGGAUAAAGUUGUUUCAUUUGAACCUGAUGUCUUUUCAGGAUGCGUGCCAGUGUUGACUGAGAGGCCUGAUGGACAUUGAGAAUGGCAUGGUCACCGAUAAUGUUGGCUUGUAGUUCUGAGCCUGAUAGGAUUAUUGGCCAAAACCAUGUUUAUUAUCUCUCUUGUGCUUGCGUGAAUAUGGGCCCCCUUCCUCUUUGUCGUUCCCGACCCUCAAUCAUAUGUAGAGAAUAAUACAUGUAACUUACUGUACAAUGUCACAGGAAGGGGUAUCACAAGUGUUGAUAUGGUGCAUACAAUAAGCGGCUGAUUACUGUAACUGUAGACAGAUCUUCUUUUACCUGUUUUCCUGUCAAAAAGUCCUUAUGACAGAUGCCACUGUAUAUCUGCUAAGAUUUGGCUGAACUCAGUCCAGCCUCCCUCAGCAUCAAUCCGUGGUUCACAACAUGGUCCACUAGUGUUGCACGAAUGUCAAUUGGAUAAGUUUGAUUCUCUUAUUCUUUGUGCACGUUCUACUCCUGCUUCAGGUCUUCCUCUGGCUCGGCCUCUUCCUCUACCUCCUUCUCCUCUGUGUACUCCUCCUCUCACCCUCACUCUUCUUCUGACUCCUUCCAUUUUGGUUGAAGGCAGGUAAACCUACCUGCUGCAUUUUUAUAGUGCUUAAACCUGAUUGGUGUGUCUACAAUUUAGCAAUCGUGUUUGUGCACCUGAUGGCUGUGUUUAACUUCUCUACGGCCGGCGGGACGAAAUCGUCCCACCUACGUAACAGCCAGUGGAAUCCUGUGGCGCGUUAUUCAAAUACCUUAGAAAUGCUAUUACUUAAAUUUCUCAAACAUAUUACUAUUUUACAACAUUUUAAAGACAAGACUCUCGUUAAUCUAACCACACUGUCCGAUUUCAAAAAGGCUUUACAACGAAAGCAAAACAUUAGAUUAUGUCAGCAGAGUACCCAGCCAGAAAUAAUCAGACACCCAUUUUUCAAGCUAGCAUAUAAUGUCACAAAAACCCAGAAGACAGCUAAAUGCAGCACUAACCUUUGAUGAUCU
Molecule: long non-coding RNA, 5106 nt
Filed under: Salmo salar (Atlantic salmon)
Lineage: Eukaryota; Metazoa; Chordata; Actinopteri; Salmoniformes; Salmonidae
Description: lncRNA (ENSSSAG00000097916.1, ENSSSAG00000102015.1)
Source: RNAcentral